UACGUAGGGCGCAAGCGUUGUCCGGAAUUAUUGGGCGUAAAGAGCUCGUAGGCGGUUUGUCGCGUCUGCUGUGAAAACUCGAGGCUCAACCUCGGGCUUGCAGUGGGUACGGGCAGACUAGAGUGCGGUAGGGGUGACUGGAAUUCCUGGUGUAGCGGUGGAAUGCGCAGAUAUCAGGAGGAACACCUAUGGCGAAGGCAGCUCGCUGGGACGGUACUGACGCUGAGGCGCGAAAGCGUGGGGAGCGAACAGG
RNAcentral lists this ribosomal RNA (253 nucleotides) under uncultured bacterium. RNAcentral's name for it is "partial 16S ribosomal RNA". It matches the Rfam family "Bacterial small subunit ribosomal RNA", at positions 524 to 776 of the family's 1533-position model. The record is from RNAcentral.